CUUAAUUUGACUCAAAAUGGGAAACCUCACCUGGUCCAGACACGAACAGGCUUGACAAAUUGAUAGUCCUUUCUCGAGUCCGUGGGUGGUGGUGCAUGGCCAUUCUUAGUUGGUGGAAUGCUUUUUUAUAUAAAAACAUGUGAAAUACAUUUAUAAACUUUGUCUAUGCUAAUUCAUACAUAUACAGGCAUGCCAAAAUUGAAUGUCAGUGUCCCUUCAAAAUUCCUAUGUUGUGUCUAUGCUAAUUCAUACAUAUACAGGCAUGCCAAAACUGAAUGUCAGUGUCCCUUCAAAAUUCCUAUGUUG
RNAcentral lists this non-coding RNA (306 nucleotides) under Bos taurus (domestic cattle). RNAcentral describes it as "Eukaryotic small subunit ribosomal RNA". It matches the Rfam family "Eukaryotic small subunit ribosomal RNA", at positions 1189 to 1399 of the family's 1831-position model. Lineage: Eukaryota; Metazoa; Chordata; Mammalia; Artiodactyla; Bovidae. The record is from Rfam by way of RNAcentral.